AUGAAAAUCCUAAGUUGGAAUUGUCGUGGGAUAGGCAAUCCCACGGUUCGAGAACUCCGCGAUCUUGUGGAGCUUAGUUUGCCUUCUAUUCUUUGUUUAGUCGAAACUCAAUUACAGAAGAGUUGUGUUGAAGGUCUUCGCUUUUCGUUAGGGUUUGAUUUCCGUUUUGGUGUUGGUAGCAAUGGUAGGAGUGGUGGUCUUCGUAUCUUUUGGAAGAAUUUGGUGGAUGUUGCAAUAAAAAACUUUUCAGAGUAUCAUGUGGAUGCAUGGGUGCAAGAACAGGGGAAAGAGCAGUGGCGUUUAUCUUGUUUCUAUGGAGAAGCAACGAGGAGUCUCCGUUAUAAAACUUGGAAUACAAUGAUGAGAUUGAGAGGGGAGAGCACCCUCCCCUGGUUAUGUAUUGGUGACUUCAACGAGAUACUGAGACCUGAGGAGCAACAUGGUCCCAAUGCCCGUGAUAGUGCUCAGAUAGAGGCUUUCAGAGAGGCCGUUGAUGUUUGUGGACUUGUCGAUUUGGGCUAUCGUGGCUUGGACUGGACAUGGGAGAAGAAGGUGGCUGGUGGUCACUUUUGCCGAGUACGUUUGGAUCGAGCCUUGGGAUCGGCCUGCUGGUCGGCGCUCUUUCCUUUCGCUUCUCUUGAACACUUAACCGCGGCAAAAUCCGAUCACUGUCCCAUAUUGUUAGAGAUGGAGCUGGUAGCGACAAAUGUUCGGGCCAAGCAAAAACAAUUCAGAUACGAGUGCAUGUGGGAAAGGGAACCUAGCUUUGGAGAUAUCUUGGCUGAGGCGUGGAACGAUGCGGGCAGGGCCCAAACUGUAUCGGGACUAUCUGCAAAACUUGCCAUCGUUGCCGGUGCGCUACAAAGAUGGGGCCGGAACAAGUUUGGUGCAGUCCGUGCGGAACUGCGCUCCCUGCGCCUUUAG
Molecule: ribosomal RNA, 924 nt
Filed under: Triticum aestivum (bread wheat)
Lineage: Eukaryota; Viridiplantae; Streptophyta; Magnoliopsida; Poales; Poaceae
Description: partial small subunit ribosomal RNA
Source: RNAcentral